RNAcentral lists this long non-coding RNA (3194 nucleotides) under Malus domestica (apple). RNAcentral describes it as "long non-coding RNA (MDOM_LNC018679)". Lineage: Eukaryota; Viridiplantae; Streptophyta; Magnoliopsida; Rosales; Rosaceae. The record is from RNAcentral.
AUAUAAGGUUUACAUGAUCCACUCCCCUAGAUGAUAUGGGAUGUCACAAUCCACCUCUCUUAAGGGCCCGACGUCCUCGUCGGCCCACGUCCGGCCAGGGAUUGGCUUUGAUACCAAAUUGUCACAUCCCGACCCGAGGUCCACCACAUCCCAAACUCGACUCCACCGUAGCACGAUAUUGUCCGUUUUGGGCCCCGACCACGCCUUCACGGUUUUGUUUCUGGAAACUCACACAAGAACUUCUUAAUGGGUCACCCAUCUUGAGAUUGCUCUCGCUUAUAGGGCCCACUUCUCAUCGAACUUUAACGAUCCGUACACUUUUAUUUUUAAGUUGCACUUUAUAGAUUAUCCUUGGCCAAAUGGAAAAUAUUUGAGGUAUAAAAUUGAGUUCAAAGAAAUUUACGAAUACUAUUUUAUAAGAAACAUUAAAAUUUCAUCAUGACAAUCAAAUGAGUAAAUGGUUUUAGAUUAAAAUGAUAUUUUUGUAAAGAUGAUCUAUAAAUGAAGACUUCAAUUGUAGAUAAUUUAGAUUAUUAAAGUUCGAUGUAAAAUGGGUCUCCCAACUAAUCCUUAUUUUAAAAAAGAAAAGGAGAAUUCUUUUAAAUAAAAGGUGAUAUAUAUAUGUCCUUGUAAUGAGAUAGCUUGAGUUUGAUUUGACCCCAACUAAUUCGUUAAAGCUUGACUAAUAGUUAGACUUUCUAAUCUUAUAAUGAAAAUAUAAAAUGUCAUGAAAAAUCAAAUCAAACUAUUAUAUUGGUUAUGUUAAAUUAAAGUAUAUUGAAAUGUUGAUAGCUUUUCUUUCUUCAUAUUGACAUAUUGACAUAUUGACCAUCUCAUGAAUGUAUACAGUCUUCUUAGAGCAUGUCCGACUAUUAUGUUUGUUUUUUAUUUGCGCUAUUAUGUUUCAGUCACCAUUGAGCUAUAAGCCAAAAUUCAGUUUGAGCUCGUUUAAAAACUAGUUGAGCCAUUAUGAGGUAGAGCUCAAUCCAUAAAUGAAUUGAGCUAAGCCGACCUCGAGUUUAGAAAUGUCCUUCAACCGGAGCUUGAAUCUAUUAGCUUCGUUCAAGCUUAACCUUGAAUCGUAUUAGCUGAGCCAAACUUGAUCAUCUCGGUACUCGAUUAAUUUAACCCUUAGGGCUCGUUUGGUAGGUGGGAUGUGAUUGGACUUAAUAUUUAGGAUAGGUUAGGAUUGGAUUGGAGUGGACAGGAUGAGACAUGUUUAGUGUAGACAAGUAACUUGGACUGGUUAUGAAUUAAUUUACUUAUAAAAUAGGAAACUUUAACGAAAAACCACAUUUUUACAGUAAAAAGUCAAUCAUGGUACUAUUCACUUUACCCAUUAUUUUUGUCAUUUUCGUUAAAACUCAAAGUUUUCAAGUCAUUUAAUUAAUUUUCCUUAUAAAAUAAGGAAAAUUACAACAUUUGACUUCUCUUUAUUUCUGCAAUUACAAAACUAUAACAUCCCAACGACGACCCACACCACCCGCCCACUUGCUGCUCGCAACUCGCAACAACUAUCGUGACCCACCCACGAUGUCACACCGCUCGACCACCCCACAAUGCCGCUUUGACGACCCCACAUGUUGGGGCUGCUCGCGACGAGAUGUGCGGAGCAAGGUUCUAAAAGAUGCUAGGUGCUAGACAAGCAACAGACUGGGGUCUAGCACCUAAGUGGCUAGGCGGGCUUAGGUGGACUAGGCAGAUUUAAGUAAACUUAUUAUAUAUUGUAUAAAUAAUUGUCAGUUUAUAUUUAAAAAGUGCUCAAUUGUAUUGAGAUAGAUAAAUUGAAAAAUAGAAUGACAUAUAGAUUAGAAAGUAUUAGAACAUGUUGAAAACAUGGGGAACCAAAAUGUAAUGAGUUUCCUUCCAAAUAUUCAACAAGUUUCUUAUAAUUUUUUUUUAAUGCAAUAUGAAAGUUAUCUAUUUUUUGUCUAAGUGAAAGUCGCGACCUAAGUGGGUGCCUAAGCAGGUCUAUGUGCUCUUUCUUAAUUUUCAAACGCCUAGGGAUUAAUUGGGGUGGUGGAUAGCCGUCUAGUGCCUAGCGCAUAGGCUCUAGGCAGGUAUUUUUAGGACAAUGUUGUGGAGAGAGACAAGGUCCAGUGAGAGAAAAGUCGGGAGAGAGAGAUGAAGAUUACGGAAUGAAAUAAUGACAAAGAGAGGCGAGGAAGAACACGACAUGCGCCUCAUGUAGAUGGGAUUUGUAACCCAUGUGUGAGGUUGGGUUAUAUAAGCCACCUGAUUUUGGAUUUGUAGCCGAUCACGUUUAAUCCCAUCCCAGUUACAUUUAACACCAUCAAAUAUUGGACUUGGACUCAUAGCCAUUUUAACUGGCCAUAAUCUAUCUCAUCCAAUCCAUCAAACGAGCCCUUAAUCUUAGUGAAGGGUCAUGAUACAUAACUUAUUGUGUACUCACUAACUUUUAAUGAUUGUAAGUUCUAGCAAUUUUUCCCCUUAGAUUUAUGUGAUUGAUUAAAUUUAUUAGAGAUAUGCCAAGACGACUUUCCCAAAAGUUGGACUCUCUAUAACUUUAUGUUACUUCAUGUUUUUGGCACAAUGUUUUAUAAUGCCCCGAACGGGAAUUGAAGUUAAAUUAUGACGUGGUAGAAAAUCCAUAAAGAGCCUAACUUUUAAGAGAAUCUCCUCAACAUUACAGAACUUAUUAUUUGACUUACUUUUUGUCAUAAUGAAAGUAAUUGACUCUGGUUUUGUUCUAAGGAGAGAAUCCUACUCCUUGUUCUAAUUCUAACUCCAUUUCCCUCCCACCCCUCACGAGACAAAUAAUGAAUCUUUAUAUAAAUGGUACCAUUUUUCUCGGAACAAAAUUAAAAAAAAUCAAGUAAAAGAAAAUCUCAUACAACUCCUGAGGGAAGUUUUGUUUCUAUUGAUAAAAAAUUGAAGAAAUGAACCUCGAGUACUAGAGUAAUACUUAUCAAUCACUUGAGUUAUAAGUCAGACAACUUUAAAAAAAAUUAAAAUGUCGUACAUGAUAUGAUACAUAAUUAAAAUAAAAAAGGUAAUUUUCAUUUAACUACUCUCAAGUUUCUUAACUUCUAGCUUUUCAUACUAAUAGAUUUAUUUUCCUCUCACUUUCAUAAUUUUCUACCACUUUUGUAACUUUAGCUUGGUCGUGCUUUUCUGUUAAUUGAUGACGUGAUAUAAUUUUCACCCACUAAUUCAUGUGAAAGUGGAAGUUU